RNAcentral lists this ribosomal RNA (492 nucleotides) under uncultured bacterium. RNAcentral's name for it is "partial 16S ribosomal RNA". It matches the Rfam family "Bacterial small subunit ribosomal RNA", at positions 29 to 507 of the family's 1533-position model. The record is from RNAcentral.
AGUGAACGCUGGCGGUAGGCCUAACACAUGCAAGUCGAACGGCAGCACAGUAAGAGCUUGCUCUUACGGGUGGCGAGUGGCGGACGGGUGAGGAAUACAUCGGAAUCUACUUUUUCGUGGGGGAUAACGUAGGGAAACUUACGCUAAUACCGCAUACGACCUACGGGUGAAAGCAGGGGAUCUUCGGACCUUGCGCGAUUGAAUGAGCCGAUGUCGGAUUAGCUAGUUGGCGGGGUAAAGGCCCACCAAGGCGACGAUCCGUAGCUGGUCUGAGAGGAUGAUCAGCCACACUGGAACUGGGCCACGGUCCAGACUCCUACGGGAGGCAGCAGUGGGGAAUAUUGGACAAUGGGCGCAAGCCUGAUCCAGCCAUACCGUGUGGGUGAAGAAGACCUUCGGGUUGUAAAGCCCUUUUGUUGGGAAAGAAAAGCAGCAGGUUAAUACCCCGCUGUUCUGACGGUACCCAAAGAAUAAGCACCGGCUAACUUCGUG